RNAcentral lists this transfer RNA (77 nucleotides) under Shewanella putrefaciens. Its description in RNAcentral is "tRNA-Arg". Lineage: Bacteria; Pseudomonadati; Pseudomonadota; Gammaproteobacteria; Alteromonadales; Shewanellaceae. The record is from RNAcentral.
UCAUUGACAUAACCCUGAUUAUUAAACACCUUUAACCAAGUCUCAAACUGCACCCCAUCAUCACUUUUAUACAAGCG